Small nucleolar RNA from Chelonoidis abingdonii (Abingdon island giant tortoise), 76 nucleotides. Its record names the gene SNORD83. It matches the Rfam family "Small nucleolar RNA SNORD83". Rfam says of the family: U83 (SNORD83) and U84 (SNORD84) are members of the C/D class of snoRNA which contain the C (UGAUGA) and D (CUGA) box motifs. The record is from Ensembl. Lineage: Eukaryota; Metazoa; Chordata; Testudines; Testudinidae.
GCCAAAUGAUGCAAAAUAGAUGACAUUAGCACUCUGUGCAAAGAUGACUUACAUCUAUCACCCAGUACUGAUGGCU